UAAGUCUCAGUUCGGAUUGAAGGCUGAAAUUCGCCUUCAUGAAGCCGGAAUUGCUAGUAAUGGCAGGUCAGCAUACUGCCGUGAAUACGUUCCCGGGGCCUUGUACACACCGCCCGUCACACCAUGAGAGUUGGGAAUACCCGAAGCCUGUGAGCUAACUUUUAGAGGCAGCAGUCGAAGGUAGAAUCAAUGAUUGGGGUGAAGUCGUAACAAGGUAAC
Molecule: ribosomal RNA, 219 nt
Filed under: uncultured bacterium
Lineage: Bacteria
Description: partial 16S ribosomal RNA
Rfam family: Bacterial small subunit ribosomal RNA
Source: RNAcentral